Molecule: transfer RNA, 74 nt
Filed under: Geotrichum candidum
Lineage: Eukaryota; Fungi; Ascomycota; Dipodascomycetes; Dipodascales; Dipodascaceae
Description: transfer RNA-Gln (CTG)
Rfam family: tRNA
About the family: Transfer RNA (tRNA) molecules are approximately 80 nucleotides in length.
Source: RNAcentral
GGUUGUAUAGUGUAGUGGUGAUCACAUCGGAUUCUGAUCUUCCGGGAACCCCGGUUCGAUCCCGGGUACGACCU